Macadamia integrifolia is the source of this 821-nucleotide long non-coding RNA. RefSeq lists it as uncharacterized. The transcript has 2 exons. The record is from RefSeq and is a predicted model, not a curated record. NCBI's taxonomy places the organism in Eukaryota, Viridiplantae, Streptophyta, Magnoliopsida, Proteales, Proteaceae.
AAGGUGAGGAACAGGGGACUUGGUGACAGUUUCUCACUCACUCACUCGGUCACUCCUAUUAAGUAUUUUUUGUUGUUGUUGUUUGUUAUUCUUUAUUAUUUAUUAAUUCCAAGGAAAAUUGGGUGGGAAGGGAAUGGCUGGACUGGACAGUUUCACUUUUCCCUGCCCUCUUUUGUAGCUGCUGCUGCUGUACUACUACUUCUGCCCUUUUUUGAGUUUACCACCACCCUUUUUUUCUUCCCAUGUUGUAGUACUAUUGUGCAUGCAAGCUAAUUAAGGAUAGUAGAUGAACUUGCCCAGAGAGAGAGAGAGAGAGAGAGACCAAAGUCCCAAGUCCCCAUGUGUCUUCUUCCCUUAGAAGUUAGAAGUCACUGUGAGGGAGAGAGACCAUAUUUUUACUUAUUUUUCUGUUGUUUCCUUUGGUUGUAAUUAAAUGGGAUGGAAAAUCAAACUCUUGUGUCAUUUGUUGGGGACCCUUUUUUAUUUUCUUUCUCAGGGCCCGAUCUUUUAGGUGUUCAAGUCUUAUUUUCUUACUUAAUUCUAGGAGAUAAUCUCCUGGUGAAUAAGAACAACUACUUUUUAACUUUUGAGAGAAAGAGAGAGAGUUGGGAAAAAAGUGAUGCAAGUGUAGUAAUGGUAUUUAUAAGAUAUGGUAGUAAUGGUAUUUAUAAGCGGACACCUUGACAACUAUGAUCCACUCCACUCUGAUAAAUUUACUAUGUCAAAUCUUGAGCAGCAGAAGAAUGAGGUUACCAAUUCUUUCCCUUUUGGUCUGUUUUGUUAGAUUGAAGUAAAUAAAAAUCAUCAAAUGUUUGUUUCCA